RNAcentral lists this long non-coding RNA (1202 nucleotides) under Zonotrichia albicollis (white-throated sparrow). Its description in RNAcentral is "lncRNA (ENSZALG00000013235.1)". The record is from RNAcentral. Lineage: Eukaryota; Metazoa; Chordata; Aves; Passeriformes; Passerellidae.
CUGUGCAAUCUCAGCGCAGUCCCUGAGGGAGGCUGGAGCCCAGCCCUUGGGUAAAACCAAACCAGUGGUUUUAUCUUGAAUGGAGAGAACAGGUGGAAGUGCUGUCAGCCAGCGUGGGCAGCAGGAAUGGCAGGAAUGCUGCCCACAGGAGCCUGGGGACCUGUGGGAAGAGAAAAUGAAAGGAAUCUGGUUAUCCAAGACAUUUCCCCACUCGGUUUCCCUGAAGUCCUGUGCCCAGCAGUGACUGCAGCAGGCAAAGCAGCAAAAACCCAAUUACACCUAAAAUAUACACUGAAUCUGCUUAUCCAAGAAAUUUCCCCACUCGAAUUUCCUGAAGUCCUGGACCCAGACACCUGCAGAAACCCAAAAGGACAGAUGAGGGCUCCAAGGGCCAGAAACAGCAGGAGAGAACCCCUGCCUUCCCAUUUUCCAUGUUUUCCAUGUUUUUAUGGGCAGCAGCCAGCUGCAGAUGUUGGGGACAAGAGGAGGGACCUGGGGAAGGAGCAGAGCUGAUUCCAGAGCUGAUCCAAGGGGCUCUGCCCUGUCCCACCCUGCUCCCUGGCAGGGCAUCCCACGGACGUGGAGCCCUCCCAGGUCUGGCCAUGGAUGCACACCCAAAGCGGCUCCUUUGGCCCAGGGAUCACAGGGCCUCCAAUUCCUGCAUCACAGGGCUCUGCUUCUCCUCUGCCUGUGGAACCCCUCUCCUCAGGAGCGAGUUCAGGCCUCCUGCGCUGGAUUUCAACAGAGCUGCAGUCGUGCAGUUAGGAAAUGGUGAGCCCUGCAAUGAGGCACCUUUAAUUGAAUCCUGCCACUUGCUCAAUGACAGCAGCCCUUCGGGCAGCCCUGAGCAGCAGGGAAACCAGCCCUGCCCCAGCUCUGCAGGCUGCCAUUGGCUGCAAACCUGCCCGGCUCGAUGGGCUGCACUCGGAGGGGAUUUACAGCCCGUAAAUAGCAGGGCUGGAGCGCUCGGGAAUGGAUUUCCACCCUUGGAGCUCUGCAUGGAGCCUCUGCCCAGGAACCCAGCACGAGGAAAAGCUGGAGAAGACAUUGCCUGUGCUGCAGAUUCCACUGGAGCUUUCCAGAGCAUGGCUUGUGUGAGUAGGUGACUUGGGCAGCAGGAGGAGCAUCUCUGGGGCAGCUGGAAUAUCUUUGGGGCAGCUGGAACAUUUUUGGGCAGCAGGAGGAGCAUCUCUGGGGCAGCU